AUAAGGAGGGCUGAGGAGGCAUAAGGAGGGCUAAGGAGGGCUAAGGAGGGCUAAGGAGGCCUACAAAGGCCUAAGGAGGGCUAAGGAGGCCUAAGGAGAUUUAAGGAGGCCUAAGGAGGGCUAAGGAGGCCUAAGGCGGGCUAAGGAGGCCUAAGGAACGCUAAGGAGGCCUAAGGAGGGCUAAGGAGGCCUAAAAGAUGCCUAAGGAGGCCUAAGGAGGGCUAAGGAGGUCGAAGGAGGGCUAAGAAGGGCUAAAGAGGCAUAAGGAGGCAUAAGGAGGGCUAAGGAGGCCCAAGGAGCCCUAAGGAGACCUAAGGAGGCUUAAUGAGGCCUAAGGAGACCUAAGGAGGCAUAAGGAGGGCUAAGGAGGCAUAAGAAGAGCUAAGGAGGCAUAAGGAGGGCUAAGGAGGCAUAAGAAGAGCUAAGGAGGCAUAAGGAGGGCUAAGGAGGCCCAAGGAUGCCUAAAGAGGCAAGGAGGCUUAAGGAGGCCUAAGGAGACCUAAGGAGGGCUAAGGAGGCCUAAGAAGGCCUAAGGAGGGCUAAGGAAGGCUAAGGAGGUCUAAGGAGGGCUACGGAGGCAUAAGGAAACCUAAGCAGGGCUAAGGAGGCCUAAGGAGGGCUAAGGAGGGCUAAGGAGGUCUUAGGAGGGCUAUGGAGGCCUAAGGACGGCUAAGGAGGGAUGAGGAGGCAUAAGGAUGGCUAAGGAGGCCUAAAAAGGCCUAAGGAGGCCUAAGGAGUCCUAAGGACGACUAAGGAGGGCUAAAGAGGCAUAAGGAGGGCUAAGGAGGCCUAAGG
This is a non-coding RNA of Paramuricea clavata, 795 nucleotides long. The record is from the annotation of a GenBank genome assembly. Lineage: Eukaryota; Metazoa; Cnidaria; Anthozoa; Malacalcyonacea; Plexauridae.